CCAGGAAUUAAAAUAUGAGAAUUUAAAAACAAUAAAAUGAGAAGUUUAUUGCUUUUCUAAAUACUUUGGAACAAGAACAAUGAGCUUACGCAUCAUGUUUUCUUGGUGCCUUCAUAAUCACUUUUGUUCCAAAUUCUAAUUACAAAUUCAUAAUGAGAAAUACAAUGCAGAGUAUAAUAGACCUUGAUCAAUGUAGUGUGGUGGAAAAAUAUCAAAGACUUUGAACCAGACACUACAGGCCUUCUGUCUCUUCUACCUAAUUUCCUCAUCUGUAUAGUAUAUAGUAAUAAUGAAGGGGACAAGUACUGUGUUAGAAAGGCAGUCCAGAAACAAUUAAUGUCAUACAUCAUGUGUGAAUCCACCUGACAGGAAACUCCAUCUGCAGCCUCCUCCGAAUGCUGCUUAGAAGGCCAGCUGACCUAGACCAAAGCUCAAAGACAAGCCAGUGCACUAAGAUUCACAGGUACAUUUGUAAUAAAUAUGUUUC
This 487-nucleotide long non-coding RNA is filed under the name Fukomys damarensis (Damara mole-rat). Its description in RNAcentral is "lncRNA (ENSFDAG00000027181.1)". Lineage: Eukaryota; Metazoa; Chordata; Mammalia; Rodentia; Bathyergidae. The record is from RNAcentral.